This 255-nucleotide ribosomal RNA is filed under the name uncultured bacterium. RNAcentral's name for it is "partial 16S ribosomal RNA". It matches the Rfam family "Bacterial small subunit ribosomal RNA", at positions 524 to 776 of the family's 1533-position model. The record is from RNAcentral.
AACGAGAGGGGCAAACGUUAUUCACCUUGACUGGACGUAAAGGGUUGGUAGCUUGAUUAAUAAGUUAAAUAUAAAAAAUUGGAAGUUAAAUCCUAUCAUAUAUUUAAACCUGUUAUUCUAGAGUAUAGUAGAGGAUUUGGGUAUUUUUGAUGGAAAAGUGACAUUUUAAGAUAUCGAAAAGACGGUCAUAAGGUGAAGACUCAUUUCUAGCGUAUACUGACAGUGAUUUCAACUAAAGCACAGGGAGCAAACAGG